UAGACAGUAAGGAGAGCCAAUCGCAAUAUAGGAAGGUGUGGCUAGACAGAAUACGGGUGCGGAAUAUAAUCAGGCUGCUGCCAGUGUAGGGGAUUUCCUGGGAAAUUCCCAAAGCCACCAAUAAUAAUAGGAGCAGAUCCCGAGGGCGGCGUGUGACGCGCAUGCGCAUUUCCAGACUGGUUUGUUUGGGGAUUUUGUUACACUUGGAGUCUCGCUGACAUGUGGAGCAUCCUGCUAAAGUGAUUUGUGAGCUACAACACCUAAUGUGUGGCUCCAUGUCUCUGUCCUGCAGAUGUGUUGUUUUUAUACAGACCACCAGGGGGCAGGGUGGAGACAUUCAGGCCCUAUUUAAAACGAUCUUCCUCUGAUCUGUCACUGAUGAUGUCAUGCUAGUGGGCUUCAUCUUGUCUUUGAGGGACACCAGGAUACGCAUUCUGUCAGCACCGAUGUGUUAGCACUAAAGGUCAUCGGAUGUCAAAGCUCUCUCUCAAAUUAUCAUCUCUGUCUGUGCAACAGCUGUGAGAAGCUGGUUUAAGACGUAACAGUGGAGACACUGCAUUUAUCAUAUAAGUCAUCGCUGUGUUUUGACUGGUGCAGUGGAAACAGACGCGGUUAAAUCAGCAACGUCAACAAACUAAUGGAAGAUUUUCCAUUAAACUUUCCAUCAUGGUCAAA
Tachysurus vachellii is the source of this 675-nucleotide long non-coding RNA. RefSeq lists it as uncharacterized. The transcript has 2 exons. Lineage: Eukaryota; Metazoa; Chordata; Actinopteri; Siluriformes; Bagridae. The record is from RefSeq and is a predicted model, not a curated record.